UUACCCUCAUGAUCAUAGAAUGUACUGGACUAAAAGACUGCCUUUCACCUCCUCCUCAUCUGUAAAGCCAACAGUACACUGAGCUUACUAUUUUCCAGCUUAAGUAGGGUAGGAUAUGGAAUCAUUAGAAGCAUAGAUACUGGAGGUGGGGAGGCUGUGUCCAUGCAGCGGGCUCCUACCUACAACCAACAGAAAGAGCUUGGGUGGAUCUGAGCCAUCAAGAAUUCAAAAGAAGGUUACCAGGCAGCUGGGAAAGCAUGGGGAGCAGGUGAACCAGGCUUGGGAAAUCCCAGCCAAGGAAAGUUCUGAAUUGGCCUAUGGCCAACUGCCCAGCCUUCACACCUUCCUGGAGUCUGCACCUGUGCUCUGCCUGCCUUCUUCAUUCCCUGAGAGAGGAGAGAAGAUGGACCGAGCGAGACCACGGGGUCAAAAGAUUUCCCCCUUCUGUUCAUCUCUGUCACUAGCAGGGCAUCCCUGAAGACCCCGAGUGUCUUCUAUAUGCUUACUAUUGUUUUCUUGUGAUAAAGGCCGCAUUACA
Non-coding RNA from Peromyscus maniculatus bairdii (prairie deer mouse), 538 nucleotides. NCBI's taxonomy places the organism in Eukaryota, Metazoa, Chordata, Mammalia, Rodentia, Cricetidae. The record is from RefSeq and is a predicted model, not a curated record.